UCACGAGUUCUUACCACAUCGUAGCCCUGGCUGGUAAGACGGCAACCCUCCCGUUGUAGUGGGGUGCCCCAGGUGAUGAUUCGGCCUCACGGAAUACGCCGUCGGGCAAGUAC
RNAcentral lists this non-coding RNA (113 nucleotides) under uncultured Yaniella sp. Its description in RNAcentral is "S-adenosyl methionine (SAM) riboswitch". It matches the Rfam family "SAM (S-adenosyl methionine) riboswitch aptamer". From Rfam's summary of the family: SAM-IV is a mRNA element that regulates gene expression via direct sensing of S-adenosylmethionine (SAM or AdoMet). Lineage: Bacteria; Bacillati; Actinomycetota; Actinomycetes; Micrococcales; Micrococcaceae. The record is from RNAcentral.